RNAcentral lists this ribosomal RNA (492 nucleotides) under uncultured bacterium. Its description in RNAcentral is "partial 16S ribosomal RNA". It matches the Rfam family "Bacterial small subunit ribosomal RNA", at positions 29 to 507 of the family's 1533-position model. The record is from RNAcentral.
AGUGAACGCUGGCGGUAGGCCUAACACAUGCAAGUCGAACGGCAGCACGGUAAGAGCUUGCUCUUACGGGUGGCGAGUGGCGGACGGGUGAGGAAUACAUCGGAAUCUACUUUUUCGUGGGGGAUAACGUAGGGAAACUUACGCUAAUACCGCAUACGACCUACGGGUUAAAGCAGUGGAUCUUCGGACCUUGCGCGAUUGAAUGAGCCGAUGUCGGAUUAGCUAGUUGGCGGGGUAAAGGCCCACCAAGGCGACGAUCCGUAGCUGGUCUGAGAGGAUGAUCAGCCACACUGGAACUGAGACACGGUCCAGACUCCUACGGGAGGCAGCAGUGGGGAAUAUUGGACAAUGGGCGCAAGCCUGAUCCAGCCAUACCGCGUGGGUGAAGAAGGCCUUCGGGUUGUAAAGCCCUUUUGUUGGGAAAGAAAAGCAGCAGGUUAAUACCCCGCUGUUCUGGCGGUACCCAAAGAAUAAGCACCGGCUAACUUCGUG